UGCAGUCGAGCGACUGAUUAGAAGCUUGCUUCUAUGACGUUAGCGGCGGACGGGUGAGUAACACGUGGGCAACCUGCCUGUAAGACUGGGAUAACUUCGGGAAACCGAAGCUAAUACCGGAUAGGAUCUUCUCCUUCAUGGGAGAUGAUUGAAAGAUGGUUUCGGCUAUCACUUACAGAUGGGCCCGCGGUGCAUUAGCUAGUUGGUGAGGUAACGGCUCACCAAGGCAACGAUGCAUAGCCGACCUGAGAGGGUGAUCGGCCACACUGGGACUGAGACACGGCCCAGACUCCUACGGGAGGCAGCAGUAGGGAAUCUUCCGCAAUGGACGAAAGUCUGACGGAGCAACGCCGCGUGAGUGAUGAAGGCUUUCGGGUCGUAAAACUCUGUUGUUAGGGAAGAACAAGUACAAGAGUAACUGCUUGUACCUUGACGGUACCUAACCAGAAAGCCACGGCUAACUACGUGCCAGCAGCCGCGGUAAUACGUAGGUGGCAAGCGUUAUCCGGAAUUAUUGGGCGUAAAGCGCGCGCAGGCGGUUUCUUAAGUCUGAUGUGAAAGCCCACGGCUCAACCGUGGAGGGUCAUUGGAAACUGGGGAACUUGAGUGCAGAAGAGAAAAGCGGAAUUCCACGUGUAGCGGUGAAAUGCGUAGAGAUGUGGAGGAACACCAGUGGCGAAGGCGGCUUUUUGGUCUGUAACUGACGCUGAGGCGCGAAAGCGUGGGGGAGCAAACAGGAUUAGAUACCCUGGUAGUCCACGCCGUAAACGAUGAGUGCUAAGUGUUAGAGGGUUUCCCCCCCUUUAGUGCUGCAGCUAACGCAUUAAGCACUCCCCCCUGGGGAGUACGG
Molecule: ribosomal RNA, 850 nt
Filed under: uncultured bacterium
Lineage: Bacteria
Description: bacterial SSU rRNA
Rfam family: Bacterial small subunit ribosomal RNA
Source: RNAcentral